CGGCUCGUUUCCAACUUGCCUCGCUCCCGGAUUGGUGUCGUGCUGGUCGCCCCUCCGCCGGGUUUCAGCCACUACCCGAAGGGCUCGAGCGGCCCUGCGGCCCGGAGACCCAGUGCGCGUCGCGAGAGCUCAGGAGCAGCGAACAGUGAGAGGAAAGCUAGCUGAGCAGAGGAAGCACGGCGACGCAGCCACAGUUUUGGAACAGUACGCCCAGCCUAUCACUCACAGUCCCAGUUGGUGGGACUGGCCUGGAGUACAUGCUCGAUAAAUACUGAUGCAAGAGACAAAGGAGGGGUGUCAAUUCUGGAAAUGAUCACAAAGCACAAGACCCCAAAGGAUCCUUGCAGGCCUAUACCACAUGUCCCAGAGAAACAUGCUCAAGCAGCAGAUCCUCAGCACCCACUGAAGAAGCCGAGUCACUAGUCUGACCUUCCUACUCAACCAGCUCUCCCUGGACUCAGUCUCGUCACUGCAUUCAGCCCCACGCAGGAGCAUUCCUGCCUCGGGGUCUCACUGACACUCUUCUGCCCACCACACCCAACAUUCUCAAUCCUUCUUUGGCAAUCCUAAACCUAUCUCUUUUUCAAGGUUCAAGGUGUUUUGCAUGCAGUUAUGUCCAAGGGAGAUUAGCAUGCAAUUACCCUUAAAAGAACAAGACCAAAACCUGUAGAGCGCAGGAAAUAGGAAGAAGUUGGUCAAAGAGUACAAACCUUCAGUUAUAAGUUCCAGAGAUCUAAUGUAUAGCAUGGUGACUACAGUUAACAAUACUGUAUUGUAUACUUGAAAGUUGCUACAAGAGUAGAUUUAAAAUGUUCUCACCGGGCUUCCCUGGUGGUGCAGUGGUUAAGAAUCCGCCUGCCAAUGCAGGGGACACGGGUUCCAGCCCUGGUCUGGGAAGAUCCCACAUGCCGCGGAGCAACUAAGCCCGUGCGCCACAACUACUGAGCCUGCGCUCUAGAGCCCACGAGCCACAACUACUGAGCCCAUGUGCCACAACUACUGAGACUGCGUGCCACGACUACUGAAGCUUGCAUGGAGGCAAGUGGAGCAACUAAGCCCGUGCGCCACAGCUACUGAGCCUGCGCUCUAGAGCCUGUGCUCCGCAACAAGAGAAGCCACCGCAAUGAGAAGCCCGUGCACCACAAUGAAGAGUAGCUCCUGCUCGCCGCAACUAGAGAAAGCCCGCGCGCAGCAACGAAGACCCAAUGCAGCCAAAAAAAAGUUCUCACCAGAACGACAAAAAUGGUAGUUAUGUGAAGUGAAGGAUGAGUUUAUCAACCUUAUUGUGGUAAACAUUUCACAGUGCAUGCAUGUAUCAAAUCAUCACAUUGUAGCUCCUGAAUGUACACGUUACAUGUCAAUAAUAUCUCAAUAAAGCUAGAAAAAAAAGACCUAAUCAUGUCAAAGCCAACCUCUGUUAAACAGAUGACACACAUAAAUGAAGAUUUUAAUUAUAUUAAGGAAUUUCUUUUCUUUAAACAUCUCCCUGAUCACUAAUUCUUAACUCAGCAAUCACAGCAAAUCCAACCUAGUUCUCGAACGAGGCUACUGCAAUACUUUGACCUAGCUCUGGGUUAAGUUAGACUACAUGCUCAUGCUCUGUGAGGACAGACGUUGUGGCUGUUCUUGCAGCUACACUUUUAUCCUGAGCAUAUCACAGGGCCAGCCGUUAACACCUGGUUAAUCAGUGGUUCUCAACUCUGGCUACACAUUAAAAAAUCACCUGGGGACUUCCCUGGUGGCGCAGUGGUUAAGAAUCCGCCUGCCAAUGCAGGGGACAUGGGUUCGAGCCCUAGUCUGGGAAGAUCCCACAUGCCGUGGAGCAACUAAGCCCGUGCGCCACAACUACUGAGCCUGUGCUCUAGGGCCUGCGAGCCACAACUACUGAGCCCGUGCGCCACAACUACUGAAGCCUGUGCGCCUAGAGCCCGUGCUCCACAACAAGAGAAGCCACCGCAAUGAGAAGCCCGCGCAGCACAAGGAAGAGUAGCCCCUGCUCACCACAACUAGAGACAGUCCGCGCACAGCAACGAAGACCCAACACAGCCAAAAAUAAAUAAAUAAAUAAAAUUAAAAUAAAAUAAAUAAAUAAAUGUCAAUGUUUACCAAAAAAAGU
Balaenoptera ricei (Rice's whale) is the source of this 2116-nucleotide long non-coding RNA. RefSeq lists it as uncharacterized. NCBI's taxonomy places the organism in Eukaryota, Metazoa, Chordata, Mammalia, Artiodactyla, Balaenopteridae. The record is from RefSeq and is a predicted model, not a curated record. The transcript has 6 exons.